Molecule: ribosomal RNA, 245 nt
Filed under: uncultured Aestuariispira sp.
Lineage: Bacteria; Pseudomonadati; Pseudomonadota; Alphaproteobacteria; Rhodospirillales; Aestuariispiraceae
Description: partial 16S ribosomal RNA
Rfam family: Bacterial small subunit ribosomal RNA
Source: RNAcentral
UACGAAGGGUGCGAGCGUUGUUCGGAAUUACUGGGCGUAAAGGGUGUGUAGGCGGGUUUGUAAGAUAGCGGUGAAAUGCCUGGGCUUAACCGAGGAAUUGCCGUUAUAACUAUAGGCCUAGAGUAACAGAGAGGAUAUUGGAAUACCCAGUGUAGAGGUGAAAUUCGUAGAUAUUGGGUAGAACACCGGUGGCGAAGGCGAGUAUCUGGCUGUUAACUGACGCUGAGGCACGAAAGCAUGGGGAU